RNAcentral lists this unclassified non-coding RNA (203 nucleotides) under Hevea brasiliensis (rubber tree). Lineage: Eukaryota; Viridiplantae; Streptophyta; Magnoliopsida; Malpighiales; Euphorbiaceae. The record is from RNAcentral.
CCAAUCCCCGUCUCCAAAAUUUCGGCUUCCUGGAUUGCAAUGGUAACAGCAACAGCUUCCGGGCUGAGAACUGAGUUGAAAGAAGCGUUCGAAGAGAAGCAACUGUCCUCUUGACAGCAUUCCUGAGCGCGGUAGUUCUGAACUAGAAUCCAUUCUCGACAUCUAGAAACGGAAUGGCUCCGCAAUCUCUUUUUCAAGAAGUA